CCUUGCACGAGGAUUUGGGCCUUGCACGAGGAUCAGGCCUUGUACAAGGAUCAGGCCUUGCACGAGGAUCAGGCCUUGCACGAGGAUUUGGGCCUUGCACGAGGAUCAGGCCUUGCACGAGGAUCAGGCCUUGCACAAGGAUUUGGGCCUUGUACAAGGAUUUGGGCCUUGCACGAGGACAAUCCUUGCACGAGGAUUUGCUCACUUGAAGUGGAAUUUGCACGAGGAUUUGGGCCUUGCACGAGGAUCAGGCCUUGCACAAGGAUUUAGGCCUUGCACGAGGACAACCCUUACACGAGGAUUUGCUCACUUGAAGUGGAAUUUGCACGAGGAUUUGGGCCUUGCACGAGGCCGGGGCUCACACCCGGGCACGCUCCCCGCUCGUGCCAGGCCAGCCCCGGGAGUGAGCGUGAGUGUGAGCGUGAGUGUGAGCGUGAGCAGGGCUGGGGGUCUCGCACAGGGCCGUGCACGCUCGUGUGAGGCACGGGGAGGGGUCGGGGGCGUGCAAGGGGGGUUUGCACAAGGGUCGCCCCCAGUGCCACGCAGGGCCGGCGUGGAACGGC
This 563-nucleotide long non-coding RNA is filed under the name Parus major (Great Tit). RNAcentral describes it as "lncRNA (ENSPMJG00000002095.1)". The record is from RNAcentral. Lineage: Eukaryota; Metazoa; Chordata; Aves; Passeriformes; Paridae.